UGAGCAACCUGCCCCGAAGACCGGGAUAACACCGGGAAACCGGUGCUAAUACCGGAUGCCCUCAUCAUGUCGCAUGGCGAGAUGAGGAAAUGGAUUCCGCUUCGGGAUGGGCUCGCGGCUUAUCAGCUUGUUGGUGAGGUAAUGGCUCACCAAGGCUACGACGAGUAGCUGGUCUGAGAGGGCGAUCGGCCACACGUGGGCCUGAGACACGGCCCAGAUCCCGUACGGG
Molecule: ribosomal RNA, 229 nt
Filed under: uncultured bacterium
Lineage: Bacteria
Description: partial 16S ribosomal RNA
Rfam family: Bacterial small subunit ribosomal RNA
Source: RNAcentral